This 253-nucleotide ribosomal RNA is filed under the name uncultured prokaryote. Its description in RNAcentral is "partial 16S ribosomal RNA". It matches the Rfam family "Bacterial small subunit ribosomal RNA", at positions 524 to 776 of the family's 1533-position model. The record is from RNAcentral.
UACGUAUGGUGCAAGCGUUAUCCGGAUUUACUGGGUGUAAAGGGAGCGCAGGCGGUCUGACAAGUCUGGUGUGAAAGCCCGGGGCUCAACCCCGGGACUGCAUUGGAAACUGUCAGACUAGAGUGUCGGAGAGGUAAGUGGAAUUCCUAGUGUAGCGGUGAAAUGCGUAGAUAUUAGGAGGAACACCAGUGGCGAAGGCGGCUUACUGGACGAUAACUGACGCUGAGGCUCGAAAGCGUGGGGAGCAAACAGG